CCCCGGGGCAGGCUGGGAGAUGUAGUUCCUGGCUCUCCCCGGAGCAGAAGUGACGUUGGGCACUGCGGAGGACGAGCCGAGUUGCGAACGCGCGUGGGGCGCUGCGCCUCUGCGUGGCUUGUGCGGGACCGUUGGAGCGUCUCCGGGAGCCGGAGAAGGGUUUUGUGCCGCUCGAGCUCUGGGCAUGCGCAGAUGGGGGGGGGGGGCGAGUUCCGCAUGCGCAGAGGCAGCGCUCACCCGCUGCUGCUCGCUGGCGCUGCGGGGCCGGGCGGAGCAGGAGGGUCUGUGCCGGGGAGACCUUCAUUAACCCCCCCGUGCCCGGCCCGGGCCCUGCUCCCGCUGGAGCCGCCCUGGGGCCGCCCCGGGCUCUGCCCGCCCCGCUGCGGAGCUGCAGCCUCCAGGUGUCUGACUGAGAUCAGGGUUCUUAUUGUACUGAGCGUGGCACAGGCCCUGCCUGAGAUCCGGUUCCCCAGUGUGCCGGACACUGCACAAACCCUGACCGAGUUUGGGGAACUCGUUGUGCCAGGAACUGCAGAGACCCCAACAGAGAUCUGCGCCCCUGUUGUGCUGGGCACUGUAGAGACCGCACCUGACAUCAGGCCCCACAUUGUGCCAGAUCGCAGUUUCUACAGCGGACAGCUCACUUAUUCACCAGAUCAGCGGUCGGAGUCACCAGUGUCGUCAGAUGCUACCAGUGUGGUGGUGCUCUGCUCUGUUCAAUGUUGAUAUCAGUCGGCUGCGUGCGUGUGUUCCCUCUGUGUGCUGCCCCGGCUCUGCAGAUCGCUGACACAGCAGACCCCGGAGAACCCCCAGUGACCACAGACUCCAAUAAGGCUACAGAAUAACAUCCAGGUUUCACUCCAGACCCACCCAGGGGGAAGGAAAUGGCUGCAAUGGAGCUGGCUCAGGGGCCGGUGACUUUCGAGGAAGUGGCUGUGUAUAUCACCAGGGAAGAGCGGGCUCUGCUGGACCUCACUCAGAGAGACCUCUACAGGGAUGUCAUGCAGGAGAACUAUGAGACGGUGGUCUUGCUGGUUUGUAAAUUCUUCAGGGGAUGGGCCAUCUACUCUUCUGUGUUUGGACUUUGCCUAGCACAAUCGGGACCCACUGUUAGUUGGUCCUUAGGCACUAAGGUAAUGAAUAUGAUUUAUAAUAACAACUCUCCUGCCACUUUGAGCCAAGGAAGCUGGUCUUCGGAUGUUACUGACUAAAAAUGAGCUGGGGGUAAAACCAUGCAAUAUUCUUUGUGACAAGUAUCCCACAAAUUCCACUGUUCUCCCUUGUUUUCUU
Molecule: long non-coding RNA, 1290 nt
Organism: Terrapene triunguis (Three-toed box turtle)
Lineage: Eukaryota; Metazoa; Chordata; Testudines; Emydidae
Exons: 6
Source: RefSeq, a predicted model, not a curated record